CUUCUGAUGGCGACCGGCGCACGGGUGCGUAACGCGUAUGCAACCUACCUGUAACAGGGGGAUAACACUGAGAAAUCGGUACUAAUACCGCAUAACACUAUGAGAGGCAUCUCUUGUGGUUGAAAGUUUCGGCGGUUACAGAUGGGCAUGCGUUGUAUUAGCUGGUUGGUAAGGUAACGGCUUACCAAGGCGACGAUACAUAGGGGGACUGAGAGGUUAACCCCCCACAUUGGUACUGAGACACGGACCAAACUCCUACGGGAGGCAGCAGUGAGGAAUAUUGGUCAAUGGACGGAAGUCUGAACCAGCCAUGCCGCGUGCAGGAAGACGGCUCUAUGAGUUGUAAACUGCUUUUGUACAAGGGUAAACCUGAAUACGUGUAUUCAGCUGAAAGUACUGUACGAAUAAGGAUCGGCUAACUCCGUGCCAGCAGCCGCGGUAAUACGGAGGAUCCAAGCGUUAUCCGGAUUUAUUGGGUUUAAAGGGUGCGUAGGCGGAUUGAUAAGUUAGAGGUGAAAUGUCCGAGCUUAACUCGGGAACUGCCUCUAAUACUGUUGAUCUAGAGAGUAGAUGCGGUAGGCGGAAUGUAUGGUGUAGCGGUGAAAUGCUUAGAGAUCAUACAGAACACCGAUUGCGAAGGCAGCUUACCAAUCUAUAUCUGACGUUGAGGCACGAAAGCGUGGGGAGCAAACAGGAUUAGAUACCCUGGUAGUC
RNAcentral lists this ribosomal RNA (714 nucleotides) under uncultured bacterium. RNAcentral describes it as "bacterial SSU rRNA". It matches the Rfam family "Bacterial small subunit ribosomal RNA", at positions 82 to 795 of the family's 1533-position model. The record is from RNAcentral.